Molecule: ribosomal RNA, 408 nt
Filed under: uncultured prokaryote
Description: partial 16S ribosomal RNA
Source: RNAcentral
CCCUACGGGGUGCAGCAUCAAAGUAAACAAUGUGACCUUUGAAAUCGUUGGCGUGCUCGCCGCAAAAGGUACUUCGGGCUUUAUGAGUGCAGAUUCAAAUGUGAUCAUCCCCCUGCAGACAGGGUACGCCCGCGUUUUUGGCUCAAUGGCGAAAUACAACGGAAAGUCAAUUCUCUCAGGCAUUUCCAUUUCGGCGGCAGAUACCGACCAAAUCGACAAUGUCAUCUCCAAAGUGGAGCUGGUAUUGCGUGCCCAACACAAACUCGGGCUAAAUGAUGACCUCGGUUUUUCCGUUUCAAGCCAGGAGCAAAUGCUCUCCAGCCUGAGUGACAUCAGUAAUACCAUGUCAGUUUAUCUCGGCGCAAUUGCGGGCAUCUCACUGCUGGUCGGUGGAAUUGGCGGGAGGGC